This 492-nucleotide ribosomal RNA is filed under the name uncultured bacterium. RNAcentral's name for it is "partial 16S ribosomal RNA". It matches the Rfam family "Bacterial small subunit ribosomal RNA", at positions 29 to 507 of the family's 1533-position model. The record is from RNAcentral.
AGUGAACGCUGGCGGUAGGCCUAACACAUGCAAGUCGAACGGCAGCACAGUAAGAGCUUGCUCUUACGGGUGGCGAGUGGCGGACGGGUGAGGAAUACAUCGGAAUCUACUUUUUCGUGGGGGAUAACGUAGGGAAACUUACGCUAAUACCGCAUACGACCUACGGGUGAAAGCAGGGGAUCUUCGGACCUUGCGCGAUUGAAUGAGCCGAUGUCGGAUUAGCUAGUUGGCGGGGUAAAGGCCCACCAAGGCGACGGUCCGUAGCUGGUCUGAGAGGAUGAUCAGCCACACUGGAACUGAGACACGGUCCAGACUCCUACGGGAGGCAGCAGUGGGGAAUAUUGGACAAUGGGCGCAAGCCUGAUCCAGCCAUACCGCGUGGGUGAAGAAGGCCUUCGGGUUGUAAAGCCCUGUUGUUGGGAAAGAAAAGCAGCAGGUUAAUACCCCGCUGUUCUGACGGUACCCAAAGAAUAAGCACCGGCUAACUUCGUG